Molecule: ribosomal RNA, 1359 nt
Filed under: metagenome
Description: bacterial LSU rRNA
Rfam family: Bacterial large subunit ribosomal RNA
Source: RNAcentral
GAAGUCAUCAAUCCCAUGCUGCCAAGAAAAGCCCAACAGUGAGUUGGCACGGCACCCGUACCCCAAACCGACACAGGUGGGCGGGUAGAGAAUACCAAGGCGAUCGGGAGAACUAUGGUUAAGGAACUCGGCAAAUUACAUCCGUAACUUCGGGAGAAGGAUGACCCUAUUAGGGUGAAGGGACUUGCUCCCCGAACUCGAGAGGGUGACACAAACCAGGGGGUACCGACUGUUUACCAAAAACACAGCAGCGUGCUGAGCCGCAAGGCGCUGUAUACGCUGUGACGCCCGCCCAAUGCUGGAAGGUCACGGGGAACGGUUAGUCGAAAGGCGAAGCUGUGAACCUAAGCCCCAGUGAAUGGCGGCCGUAACUAUAACGGUCCUAAGGUAGCGAAAUUCCUUGUCGGGUAAGUUCCGACCUGCACGAAUGGCGUAACGACUUCCGCACUGUCUCAACCAUAGACCCGGCGAAAUUGAAGUACGAGUAAAGAUGCUCGUUAGCUGCGGAAGGACGGAAAGACCCCAUGGACCUUUACUACAACUUGAUAUUGAGCUUUGUCCUGCAUUGUGUAGGAUAGGUGGGAGACUUGGAAGCUGUGGCGCUAGCCAUGGUGGAGUCAUCGUUGAAAUACCACCCUGUGUAUGACGGGGCUCUAACCUAGGUCCAUUAUCUGGAUCAGGAACAGUGUCAGGCUGGUAGUUUGACUGGGGCGGUCGCCUCCUGAAAUGUAACGGAGGCGCCCAAAGGUUCCCUCAGGCUGGUUGGCAAUCAGCCGUCGAGUGCAAUGGCACAAGGGAGCUUGACUGCGAGACCUACAAGUCAAGCAGGUGCGAAAGCAGGGCAUAGUGACCCGGCCAUCACGUGUGGAAGUGUGGUCGCUCAACGGAUAAAAGGUACCCUGGGGAUAACAGGCUAAUCUUUCCCAAGAGUCCAUAUCGACGGAAAGGUUUGGCACCUCGAUGUCGGCUCAUCGCAUCCUGGGGCUGAAGCAGGUCCCAAGGGUUGGGCUGUUCGCCCAUUAAAGCGGUACGCGAGCUGGGUUCAGAACGUCGUGAGACAGUUCGGUCCCUAUCCUCCGCAGCCGAAGGUGUAUUGAGGAAGGCUGUCCCUAGUACGAGAGGACCGGGACGGACGGAGCUCUGGUGUGUCUGUUGUCCUGCCAAGGGCAUGGCAGAUUAGCCACCUCCGGAAGGGAUAACUGCUGAAAGCAUCUAAGUAGGAAACCCGUUCCAAGAUGAGUACACCCAUGCGGUUAACGCAGUAAGGCCCGUGACAAGACCAUCACGUUGAUAGGCCGGAGGUGUAAGCACGGUAACGUGUGUAGCCGACCGGUACUAAUCGGCCGAGGGCUUGGAUUA